This 915-nucleotide ribosomal RNA is filed under the name uncultured archaeon. Its description in RNAcentral is "bacterial SSU rRNA". It matches the Rfam family "Archaeal small subunit ribosomal RNA", at positions 1 to 923 of the family's 1478-position model. The record is from RNAcentral.
UCUGGUUGAUCCUGCCAGAGGUUACUGCUAUCGAGGUUCGACUAAGCCAUGCGAGUCGAAUGUAGCAAUACAUGGCGAACUGCUCAGUAACACGUGGACAACCUGCCCUUAGGACGGGGAUAAACCCGGGAAACUGGGUAUAAUACCCGAUAGGUCUCGAUUGCUGGAAUGCAUCGAGAUUUAAAGCUCCGGCGCCUAAGGAUGGGUCUGCGGCCUAUCAGGUAGUAGUGGGUGUAGCGUACCUACUAGCCUACGACGGGUACGGGUUGUGAGAGCAAGAGCCCGGAGAUGGAUUCUGAGACACGAAUCCAGGCCCUACGGGGUGCAGCAGGCGCGAAAACUUUACAAUGCUGGCAACAGCGAUAAGGGAACCUCGAGUGCCAGGUUACAAAUCUGGCUGUCGAGAUGCCUAAAAAGCAUUUCAUAGCAAGGGCCGGGCAAGACCGGUGCCAGCCGCCGCGGUAACACCGGCGGCUCGAGUGGUAACCGUUAUUAUUGGGUCUAAAGGGUCUGUAGCCGGCCGGAUAAGUCUCUUGAGAAAUCUGGCAGCUUAACUGUCAGGCUUUCAGGAGAUACUGUCUGGCUCGAGGCCGGGAGAGGUGAGAGGUACUUCAGGGGUAGGGGUGAAAUCUUGUAAUCCUUGAAGGACCACCAGUGGCGAAGGCGUCUCACCAGAACGGACCUGACGGCAAGGGACGAAAGCUAGGGGCACGAACCGGAUUAGAUACCCGGGUAGUCCUAGCCGUAAACGAUACUCGCUAGGUGUCGGCCACGGUGCGACCGUUGUCGGUGCCGUAGGGAAGCCGUGAAGCGAGCCACCUGGGAAGUACGGCCGCAAGGCUGAAACUUAAAGGAAUUGGCGGGGGAGCACCACAACGGGUGGAGCUUGCGGUUUAAUUGGAUUCAACGCCGGAA